This 277-nucleotide unclassified non-coding RNA is filed under the name Hevea brasiliensis (rubber tree). Lineage: Eukaryota; Viridiplantae; Streptophyta; Magnoliopsida; Malpighiales; Euphorbiaceae. The record is from RNAcentral.
CUCCUCCCGCCCCAUCAAAGACUCAGCAUAGGGGAGGAUUUGGCAGAGGAUGUUGUGCUGGGUUAUGUUGCUGCUGCCUCCUGGAUAUAUGCUUUUGAUGAGGACUGAUUCUUCAUAGUAUUUGUAGCUCCACAACUCUCUUCUAGUGGUUGUGGGAGAUUCUCAUUGUUUAUUGUUUUUGUUUUUGUGAUUUAUUAUUUUGAUUCUUUUCAUAAUAAUAAUAACAAUACGAAUUUUAUGCUAAAAAAAAAAACAAUAAACAAUGAGAAUCUCCCAC